CUUUGAAGGGGCAUCUCUCUGCUGUUGCUGGGAGAGAGUUUUCCAACCACUCAUAUACUGCCUUCUAUUAACAGUGCAUAAAAUUUCUUAGAUAGUGCAAAAAUUUCAUGCUUUCAAUGUAAAGGUAGUAUUUUCGCCUACUAAAGAAGGGUUAAAAAAGACCAUUAAAAUAAAUAUCACAGGAGACUUCAAAGCAAGAAGUACUUAAACAUGCAAGUACCUAAAUCAUCAACUAAAAAGGGUAAAUUUGACUCUACAACUAUCUCCAUCCUUCUCUCAUACGACACAAACUGGUAGUCUAAAAAAGGAAUCAUAGCACGGUACAGGAAAUAUUCACACCUUUUUUCCUGAGGGCUUCUUAAAAACUACAAAAGAGAAAUUGUGUGACAAGUAAACCUUUUAAAUCCCCCAUCAACAGCCUUUGAUGAAACUCCAUCUUGAAACCAGACCUGUAUGCUUUAAAAAUGAAAUGUUCUAAGUAAAGCGAAGUUGUUUUUACUUUCAGACCAAAGGGGGGAAAAAAUCACCGAUUUAAAAGUAAAAGGGCUUUAGUGAAAAGUUCACAGUUGUGAGAUACUUGCUUCGCCAUUAAGAAGGUGGAAGCUCUGCUGGGUAGAAACCACCAUUCUCUGAGGUCUGAGACUUUAGGCAUUCUCAUUCUUACAGACUCUGUCUCCCGGUCACAGUUGUACAUUGGUCCUCUCAUUCCAACCAAACUACAGGGUCUCCAUAGCGUGAAGCAUGUGGUCCUUAAACGUGUUGGGGAAAGCUGCUAAUCAACGUCCUUAAGGCUCGUCAACAAUCAGACGGCAAAUCACAAACUUGCUUCCUCAACCCGAGAACAAACACUCCAGGUCCCCAAAGAAAUGAAGGUUCCUUCCACUCCCACAGGAAAACUACCAGGUUUCAGUUCUUUCGCUUUAUUUUUUAAAAGACAAAUAAAAAAUUAACUGAACACACGUGUUUUCCUACCAUUCUCAUACUUUUUAAAAAUCCCUCCAUUUUCUUCCUUCCUUUAUUUACGUUGGAAAAAUUCUUAAUAAAUAACGCCUGCUUGAAAGACAUCAGGAACUCAUUUUGAGGACUGAGUUUGCAGAAGACAAGGCAGAGAGAUGAGUGGGCAGAGUUGAGCUGAAAUUUUUAAAUUCCUGCACGGCAAAGCAAUUGUGCGUAUCUGUUUUCAAACAAUAAAAGCGUCUGGAAUUGCACAAUGUUGCAGAGCCAUGCGAGGCGCGAGGAGCAGGCAGCCGGAGGGCUCCGUGUCACAAAGGCUGCCGGGGCAGCACGCGAGCCAGAGUCACGACAAGCCCGGGUCCCAGGCUCGCUGCUGCCUCAAAUCUCAUCCGGUCCCAAAGCCAGCUGCCCUGCAGAGAGGAGCCUACCGGCACCGGGCACGUCUGUGGGAGGGCGAGGCUGGGAGAAAGGCACUGAGCUAAAGAUGAGAAGAAGCGUUCCCUGGAGCCUGCAUGGCAUCAAUCAUGAGAAUGGAUGUUGAGGGUUAUGCACCCCACUGAGGCAGCACUGAAUGCCAGAUCCCAAGUUACAGAGGACACCGAUGGGAGGAUGUGGUGGUGAUGGAGGCAGAGCUGUGAAGAACUGAGAGGCUAUUAGAAAACCGCGGUGGAACAGUGGCUGGGGAAAAGGAUUGUAUUUGCUGGGGCUGCUAUUAAAAAGUACCGUGAACUGAGUGGCUUAAACACCAGAAAUUAUUCUCUCACAGUUCUGGAGGACUAAAGUCCAAAAUCAAGCUGUGGGCAGGGUGGGUUUCCCUGAGAGCUGCAAGUGAAGGAUCUGUUCCAGGCCUCUCUCCUUGGCUGAUUUCCUGGCAAACAGAAAAAGCUCUCUUGGUCUUUAAAGUUCAUGACAGAUUCCCUAAGUGUUUGUAAAACAUCUGCCAACCACACUGAUGGGCUCUCACACAAAGGUUUUGGAAAUACAGACUGAUUUCCUUUGGUUACUAAAACUGAUUUUUUUUUUUUUUUUUGGUUACUACAAUUGAUUUUAUCUCUAUAAUUUUCUUCUCUGUCAUCUUAUUUUAAACAAAAACCGUGGCACAAAAAUAAAGUGAUGGUUUUUGAGGAAAACAUAUCUAUUUGUUUUUCUUUUUGUAUCUUCAGCCAAAACAUCUAAGGAAUAAUAAUGAAAAUAAUAGAAAAUCUUUUGCACUGGGAAAUUGUUUCCCUCUGUUUUUAGCCUUCAUUUAUUUUUUUGCCAGAGCUUCAUAUCUUUUCAGAGAUUCAUGUGCAUAACAGUUUUAAAUGUUUUCCAAAAUGAACUUCUCCAGCUGAAUCUCAGAGAAGAAAGCUUUGUUAAUGGCAACAAUUCAUUUAAGAUUAAUAUGAAGCUUUCUGGAUGAUUGUUGG
Molecule: long non-coding RNA, 2363 nt
Filed under: Homo sapiens (human)
Lineage: Eukaryota; Metazoa; Chordata; Mammalia; Primates; Hominidae
Description: HSALNT0248934
Source: RNAcentral